This 1948-nucleotide long non-coding RNA is filed under the name Sus scrofa (pig). RNAcentral describes it as "lncRNA (ENSSSCG00040015122.1)". Lineage: Eukaryota; Metazoa; Chordata; Mammalia; Artiodactyla; Suidae. The record is from RNAcentral.
AUUUGUAUGUGUUUUAUGGACAAAAUGAUAUUAUAUACAUGAUUACAACAUAUACUUUAACUGUCUCUAUAAUAUUUUUUCAUGGAAAAGCAUGUGAGAAUCAUCUAGGUCCUUAAAGUUGUUUAUAUAAUAAUGAUUUUGUAUUAAAUGUGUAUGACUGUUUGGCAGCCCCCUGAAUAGCCUAUCCUCUGAAUGAAUAGUCUGUGUCUGUGUUUAGAGAUUGAUAUAAACUGAGGAGGAAACUGGCUGCUCCCCUCUCCCCUCAGCAUCCUUCUCUGUGUCAGGAUCAUGGGCAAUAUUUGCUUCUUAAUUUAGAGUCCUAGAACUUGUAUAGAUUUUCUAUUGUUUUGUUUUGUUUUCCUUUUCCCUGGCACUUUUAUAUGUAUUAUGAUUCCAGUAAUAUCUUCCACUGUGAAAAGGUAACUUUUCACAGCUUAACUAUUUUCAGAGUCAAUAAUUAGUACAUAUCAGAAAAACAUGCCUACAACUUAAAAUAAGAACUAUAAAUAAUUUGAAUGUCAUUGAGUUACAAAACCAUGUGCCUCUAUCCAUAAAACAUCUGUAGUUGGGAAAUACUUGUGAAAUCAGUUCUAUCCUGGGGUAUUUUCUUUUCUGCAGUCUGUGAAAACUUUUCAGUAAGGAAUGUGUUCUCUCCUGAUCUUAUCUGAGUUGAAAGACAUCCUUGGUGGGUCUAUACAUAUAGUUCCCCCCUGCCUUCUGGGAUUGUUGAAAUGCUUCCAUUCUAAAUGUUUUAGCCUUAUGAUUAAUAACUUACUAAUCACCGAGAAUUAAUGAGAAACAAAGGUGCUUCAGUCUUUGGUUUGAAAUUAUUUUUGGAUUUUUUAAUUUUAAAGAAAGCACUGAUGGACUGGGAGUUUGGGGUUAAUAGAUGCAAACCGUUACGUUAAAAAUGGAUAGGCAAUGAGGUCCUGCUGUAUAGCACAGGAAACUAUGUCCAAUCACUUGUGAUGGAACAUGGUGAAAGAUAAUAUGAGAAAGAGACUGUGUAUAGAUGUAUGAACAGGUCACUUUGCUGUACAGCAGAAAUUGACAGAUUGACAACAUAAAUCAACUAUAAUAAAAAAAUUUGAAAAGUUAACUAAAAAUAAGAUACACUGUCAAAGUAGCCAAAAGAAUAAAAUAAAUACAAUAAAAAAUAGCAUGAUUUCUCCAAAAACACUUACUGAAGUAAAUGAAAAAGGCAUUUUGAAAUGUUGCUUAAUUUUGACUUUGACUUAUCAGCAUUAUAUAAAAGAUUUUAAAGUUCUCUAAAAUAAUACUAAUUAUUGCCAGCUCUGCUUACAAAUGGUGUCUAACAGAAAUGACUAUAUUCAGAUGUUUUGUACAUUAAACAUAUGAGUGGUUUGUUUUGACUACGAAGAUAAGAAGUGAUGGUAGAUUAUCAUUAGAACUCCAUGUGCCUUGAAUAAUGAUUUUCUAAGGUUAUGUGUCUAGAUUGUCUAGUUUCAUUGGACCAUCUAGUGACAACUUGGAGGGUUAGCUAUAAACAUUGUCAACAGUUAUUCACUUUAAGCACUAUUUCCUAUAGUUGUCUGACCGGUUAUUAUACCAGGAAGCUGGUUGAGUGUGUCCUGGUUAGUGGAGCCCAUAAGCUAUCAAUAUUUAAUGUUUCCACUGGUAUUGGGGAUCUAUCUUUUCGCAAAAGAAAGUGAAAUCUUUCCAAAGUUUUCUUCAGUUUACUGUGAACAGAGUUCGAAUAUCUCUUCAAACAAAAAAAGCAAUCUCUCCCUUACAGUCUCAAUGAUAAAGUAACCCCACAGAUAACUAUGUAAAAAUAUACAUGAAGGCUCAUCACAUUCUCAAGAUUCAUAAAAUAAAAUUAUCCUGGGUAGGAGAGAAUGCUGUUUUUUCCCUAAUUUUUGAAACUGUAAAUAAAAUGUAUGAAUGAUCUGGCAUCAGGAAUAGGGGUAAGUGCUUUCUGAGCACU